This is a transfer RNA of 73 nucleotides. It matches the Rfam family "tRNA". Rfam says of the family: Transfer RNA (tRNA) molecules are approximately 80 nucleotides in length. Their secondary structure includes four short double-helical elements and three loops (D, anti-codon, and T loops). Further hydrogen bonds mediate the characteristic L-shaped molecular structure. tRNAs have two regions of fundamental functional importance: the anti-codon, which is responsible for specific mRNA codon recognition, and the 3' end, to which the tRNAs corresponding amino acid is attached (by aminoacyl-tRNA synthetases). tRNAs cope with the degeneracy of the genetic code in two manners: having more than one tRNA (with a specific anti-codon) for a particular amino acid; and 'wobble' base-pairing, i.e. permitting non-standard base-pairing at the 3rd anti-codon position.
GCCCUCGUAGCAAAGUGGUCAAUGCGUCCGCCUUGUAAGCGGAAGGUCGUCGGUUCGAAUCCGAUCGUGGGCA